This 207-nucleotide ribosomal RNA is filed under the name uncultured bacterium. RNAcentral's name for it is "partial 16S ribosomal RNA". It matches the Rfam family "Bacterial small subunit ribosomal RNA", at positions 568 to 774 of the family's 1533-position model. The record is from RNAcentral.
CGCGUAGGCGGCUUAGUAAGUCAAAUGUGAAAGCCCCUGGCUUAACCUGGGAAUUGCAUUCGAUACUGCUGAGCUAGAGUAUGGUAGAGGGAAGUGGAAUUUCCGGUGUAGCGGUGAAGUGCGUAGAUAUCGGAAGGAACACCAGUGGCGAAGGCGACUUCCUGGGCCAAUACUGACGCUGAGGUGCGAAAGCGUGGGGAGCAAACA